GCCGGGGUGGUGAAAUUGGUAGACACAGCAGACUCAAAAUCUGCCGCUCGCAAGGGCAUGUCGGUUCGAGUCCGACCCUCGGCACCA
Molecule: transfer RNA, 87 nt
Filed under: Geobacter pickeringii
Lineage: Bacteria; Pseudomonadati; Thermodesulfobacteriota; Desulfuromonadia; Geobacterales; Geobacteraceae
Description: tRNA-Leu (CAA) (tRNA-Leu-CAA-1-1)
Rfam family: tRNA
About the family: Transfer RNA (tRNA) molecules are approximately 80 nucleotides in length. Their secondary structure includes four short double-helical elements and three loops (D, anti-codon, and T loops).
Source: RNAcentral